Molecule: ribosomal RNA, 561 nt
Filed under: Salmonella enterica subsp. enterica serovar Enteritidis
Lineage: Bacteria; Pseudomonadati; Pseudomonadota; Gammaproteobacteria; Enterobacterales; Enterobacteriaceae
Description: partial 23S ribosomal RNA
Rfam family: Bacterial large subunit ribosomal RNA
Source: RNAcentral
GGGAAACCGAGUCUUAAUUGGGCGUUAAGUUGCAGGGUAUAGACCCGAAACCCGGUGAUCUAGCCAUGGGCAGGUUGAAGGUUGGGUAACACUAACUGGAGGACCGAACCGACUAAUGUUGAAAAAUUAGCGGAUGACCUGUGGCUGGGGGUGAAAGGCCAAUCAAACCGGGAGAUAGCUGGUUCUCCCCGAAAGCUAUUUAGGUAGCGCCUCGUGAAUUCAUCUCCGGGGGUAGAGCACUGUUUCGGCUAGGGGGCCAUCCCGGCUUACCAACCCGAUGCAAACUGCGAAUACCGGAGAAUGUUAUCACGGGAGACACACGGCGGGUGCUAACGUCCGUCGUGAAGAGGGAAACAACCCAGACCGCCAGCUAAGGUCCCAAAGUCAUGGUUAAGUGGGAAACGAUGUGGGAAGGCCCAGACAGCCAGGAUGUUGGCUUAGAAGCAGCCAUCAUUUAAAGAAAGCGUAAUAGCUCACUGGUCGAGUCGGCCUGCGCGGAAGAUGUAACGGGGCUAAACCAUGCACCGAAGCUGCGGCAGCGACACUGUGUGUUGUUGGGUA